AUGAUACCCAAACGCGACUGCGGAUCAUGUAAGCCUAUCAUACUGAUAUCCACAGAGUCUAUAAUUAUUUUCCCUUCAUCAGGUUCAACAAGGCGAAACAAUGCACCAAUUAACGUUGUCUUGCCACUUCCUGUUCGACCAACUAUACCAAUCUUAUCUCCACGUUCAAAAUUGCAAGUGAUUCCAUGUAGUACAAGGGGAGCAUCUAUCCUAUACCUGAUCUGUUAA
RNAcentral lists this ribosomal RNA (228 nucleotides) under Triticum aestivum (bread wheat). RNAcentral's name for it is "partial small subunit ribosomal RNA". Lineage: Eukaryota; Viridiplantae; Streptophyta; Magnoliopsida; Poales; Poaceae. The record is from RNAcentral.